Molecule: ribosomal RNA, 321 nt
Filed under: uncultured eukaryote
Lineage: Eukaryota
Description: partial 18S ribosomal RNA
Rfam family: Eukaryotic small subunit ribosomal RNA
Source: RNAcentral
CCCUUAGACGUUCUGGGCCGCACGCGCGCUACACUGACCAGUGCAACAAGCAUCCGUCCUUGGCCGACAGGCCCGGGCAAUCUUUGAACGCUGGUCGUGAUGGGGAUAGACUUUUGCAAUUAUGGGUCUUCAACGAGGAAUUCCUAGUAAACGCAAGUCAUCAGCUUGCAUUGAUUACGUCCCUGCCCUUUGUACACACCGCCCGUCGCGCCUACCGAUUGAAUGGUCCGGUGAAAUCUCGGGACGGCGGCUUGGUCGCUUGCGUCCGACUGCUGAAACUUGAUUAAACCAUAUCAUUUAGAGGAAGGUGAAGUCGUAACA